UGCCAGCAGCCGCGGUAAAACGUAGGGGGCGAGCGUUGUCCGGAAUUAUUGGGCGUAAAGCGCGUGUAGGCGGAAGCUUAAGUCAGGUGUGAAAACUCGGGGCUCAACCCCGAGCCGGCAUCUGAAACUGGGUUUCUUGAGGACGGGAGAGGAAAGUGGAAUUCCUAGUGUAGCGGUGAAAUGCGUAGAUAUUAGGAGGAACACCAGUGGCGAAGGCGACUUUCUGGACCGUAACUGACGCUGAGACGCGAAAGCGUGGGGAGCAAACAGGAUUAGAUACCCUGGUAGUCCACGCCGUAAACGAUGGGUACUAGGUGUAGGAGGUAUCGACCCCUUCUGUGCCGCAGCUAACGCAUUAAGUACCCCGCCUGGGGAGUACGGCCGCAAGGUUGAAACUUAAAGGAAUUGGCGGGGGAC
RNAcentral lists this ribosomal RNA (417 nucleotides) under uncultured bacterium. RNAcentral describes it as "bacterial SSU rRNA". It matches the Rfam family "Bacterial small subunit ribosomal RNA", at positions 506 to 921 of the family's 1533-position model. The record is from RNAcentral.